Molecule: ribosomal RNA, 718 nt
Filed under: Brachybacterium phenoliresistens
Lineage: Bacteria; Bacillati; Actinomycetota; Actinomycetes; Micrococcales; Dermabacteraceae
Description: bacterial SSU rRNA
Rfam family: Bacterial small subunit ribosomal RNA
Source: RNAcentral
UGCACGGCUGGAUUAGUGGCGAACGGGUGAGUAACACGUGAGUAACCUGCCCUUCACUCUGGGAUAACCUCGGGAAAUCGGGGCUAAUACCGGAUACGAGUGCCCACCGCAUGGUGGAUGCUGGAAAGUUUUUCGGUGAAGGAUGGACUCGCGGCCUAUCAGUUUGUUGGUGAGGUAAUGGCUCACCAAGACGAUGACGGGUAGCCGGCCUGAGAGGGCGACCGGCCACACUGGGACUGAGACACGGCCCAGACUCCUACGGGAGGCAGCAGUGGGGAAUAUUGCACAAUGGGCGAAAGCCUGAUGCAGCGACGCCGCGUGAGGGAUGACGGCCUUCGGGUUGUAAACCUCUUUCAGUAGGGAAGAAGCGAAAGUGACGGUACCUGCAGAAGAAGCGCCGGCUAACUACGUGCCAGCAGCCGCGGUAAUACGUAGGGCGCAAGCGUUGUCCGGAAUUAUUGGGCGUAAAGAGCUUGUAGGUGGCUUGUCGCGUCUGCCGUGAAAAUCCAGGGCUUAACCCUGGACGUGCGGUGGGUACGGGCAGGCUAGAGUGUGGUAGGGGAGACUGGAACUCCUGGUGUAGCGGUGAAAUGCGCAGAUAUCAGGAAGAACACCGAUGGCGAAGGCAGGUCUCUGGGCCAUUACUGACACUGAGAAGCGAAAGCAUGGGGAGCGAACAGGAUUAGAUACCCUGGUAGUCCAUGCCGUAAACGUUGGG